AGCGAACGCUGGCGGCAGGCUUAACACAUGCAAGUCGAGCGGGCGUAGCAAUACGUCAGCGGCAGACGGGUGAGUAACGCGUGGGAACAUACCUUUUGGUUCGGAACAACACAGGGAAACUUGUGCUAAUACCGGAUAAGCCCUUACGGGGAAAGAUUUAUCGCCGAAAGAUUGGCCCGCGUCUGAUUAGCUAGUUGGUGAGGUAAUGGCUCACCAAGGCGACGAUCAGUAGCUGGUCUGAGAGGAUGAUCAGCCACAUUGGGACUGAGACACGGCCCAAACUCCUACGGGAGGCAGCAGUGGGGAAUAUUGGACAAUGGGCGCAAGCCUGAUCCAGCCAUGCCGCGUGAGUGAUGAAGGCCCUAGGGUUGUAAAGCUCUUUUGUGCGGGAAGAUAAUGACG
RNAcentral lists this ribosomal RNA (402 nucleotides) under Bradyrhizobiaceae bacterium Ellin7126. RNAcentral describes it as "bacterial SSU rRNA". It matches the Rfam family "Bacterial small subunit ribosomal RNA", at positions 29 to 456 of the family's 1533-position model. Lineage: Bacteria; Pseudomonadati; Pseudomonadota; Alphaproteobacteria; Hyphomicrobiales; Nitrobacteraceae. The record is from RNAcentral.